CCACGGGUGGCAGCAGUGGGGAAUAUUGGACAAUGGGGGCAACCCUGAUCCAGCCAUGCCGCGUGUGUGAAGAAGGCCCUCGGGUUGUAAAGCACUUUCAGUGAGGAAGAACGCCUGGUGGUUAAUACCCAUCAGGAAAGACAUCACUCACAGAAGAAGCACCGGCUAACUCCGUGCCAGCAGCCGCGGUAAUACGGAGGGUGCGAGCGUUAAUCGGAAUUACUGGGCGUAAAGCGCGCGUAGGUGGCUUGAUAAGCCGGGUGUGAAAGCCCCGGGCUCAACCUGGGAACGGCAUCCGGAACUGUCAAGCUAGAGUGCAGGAGAGGAAGGUAGAAUUCCCGGUGUAGCGGUGAAAUGCGUAGAGAUCGGGAGGAAUACCAGUGGCGAAGGCGGCCUUCUGGACUGACACUGACACUGAGGUGCGAAAGCGUGGGUAGCAAACAGGAUUAGAUACCCCGGUAGUC
This 464-nucleotide ribosomal RNA is filed under the name Vreelandella stevensii. Its description in RNAcentral is "partial 16S ribosomal RNA". It matches the Rfam family "Bacterial small subunit ribosomal RNA", at positions 339 to 795 of the family's 1533-position model. The record is from RNAcentral. Lineage: Bacteria; Pseudomonadati; Pseudomonadota; Gammaproteobacteria; Oceanospirillales; Halomonadaceae.